This 439-nucleotide ribosomal RNA is filed under the name uncultured bacterium. RNAcentral describes it as "bacterial SSU rRNA". It matches the Rfam family "Bacterial small subunit ribosomal RNA", at positions 959 to 1397 of the family's 1533-position model. The record is from RNAcentral.
ACGCGUGGAACCUUACCAGGUCUUGACAUCCCACUGACCGCUAUGGAGACAUAGUUUUCCCUUCGGGGACAGUGGUGACAGGUGGUGCAUGGUUGUCGUCAGCUCGUGUCGUGAGAUGUUGGGUUAAGUCCCGCAACGAGCGCAACCCUUGUUCUUAGUUGCCAUCAUUUAGUUGGGCACUCUAAGGAGACUGCCGGUGACAAACCGGAGGAAGGUGGGGAUGACGUCAAAUCAUCAUGCCCCUUAUGACCUGGGCUACACACGUGCUACAAUGGACGGUACAAACGGUUGCCAACCCGCGAGGGGGAGCUAAUCCGAUAAAACCGUUCUCAGUUCGGAUUGUAGGCUGCAACUCGCCUACAUGAAGCCGGAAUCGCUAGUAAUCGCGGAUCAGCAUGCCGCGGUGAAUACGUUCCCGGGCCUUGCACUCACCGCCCGU